CCUACGGGAGGCAGCAGUGAGGAAUAUUGGUCAAUGGCCGUAAGGCUGAACCAGCCAAGUCGCGUGAAGGAAGAAGGAUCUAUGGUUUGUAAACUUCUUUUAUAGGGGAAUAAAGGUAUCCACGUGUGGAUAUUUGCAUGUACCCUAUGAAUAAGCAUCGGCUAACUCCGUGCCAGCAGCCGCGGUUAUACGGAGGAUGCGAGCGGUAUCCGGAUUUAUUGGGUUUAAAGGGUGCGUAGGUUGUUUUUUAAGUCAGCGGUGAAAGUUUGUGGCUCAACCAUAAAAUUGCCGUUGAAACUGGAAGACUUGAGUGUGUUUGAGGUAGGCGGAAUGCGUGGUGUAGCGGUGAAAUGCAUAGAUAUCACGCAGAACUCCGAUUGCGAAGGCAGCUUACUAAGCCAUAACUGACACUGAAGCACGAAAGCGUGGGUAUCAAACAGGAUUAGAUACCCGGGUAGUC
Molecule: ribosomal RNA, 460 nt
Filed under: uncultured bacterium
Lineage: Bacteria
Description: partial 16S ribosomal RNA
Rfam family: Bacterial small subunit ribosomal RNA
Source: RNAcentral